GUAGGGCGGGACACGUGGUAUCCUGUCUGAAUAUGGGGGGACCAUCCUCCAAGGCUAAAUACUCCUGACUGACCGAUAGUGAACCAGUACCGUGAGGGAAAGGCGAAAAGAACCCCGGCGAGGGGAGUGAAAAAGAACCUGAAACCGUGUACGUACAAGCAGUGGGAGCACCCUUUGGGUGUGACUGCGUACCUUUUGUAUAAUGGGUCAGCGACUUAUAUUCUGUAGCAAGGUUAACCGAAUAGGGGAGCCGGAGGGAAACCGAGUCUUAACCGGGCGUUAAGUUGCAGGGUAUAGACCCGAAACCCGGUGAUCUAGCCAUGGGCAGGUUGAAGGUUGGGUAACACUAACUGGAGGACCGAACCGACUAAUGUUGAAAAAUUAGCGGAUGACCUGUGGCUGGGGGUGAAAGGCCAAUCAAACCGGGAGAUAGCUGGUUCUCCCCGAAAGCUAUUUAGGUAGCGCCUCGUGAAUUCAUCUCCGGGGGUAGAGCACUGUUUCGGCUAGGGGGCCAUCCCGGCUUACCAACCCGAUGCAAACUGCGAAUACCGGAGAAUGUUAUCACGGGAGACACACGGCGGGUGCUAACGUCCGUCGUGAAGAGGGAAACAACCCAGACCGCCAGCUAAGGUCCCAAAGUCAUGGUUAAGUGGGAAACGAUGUGGGAAGGCCCAGACAGCCAGGAUGUUGGCUUAGAAGCAGCCAUCAUUUAAAGAAAGCGUAAUAGCUCACUGGUCGAGUCGGCCUGCGCGGAAGAUGUAACGGGGCUAAACCAUG
This 777-nucleotide ribosomal RNA is filed under the name Salmonella enterica subsp. enterica serovar Enteritidis. Its description in RNAcentral is "partial 23S ribosomal RNA". It matches the Rfam family "Bacterial large subunit ribosomal RNA", at positions 412 to 1191 of the family's 2925-position model. Lineage: Bacteria; Pseudomonadati; Pseudomonadota; Gammaproteobacteria; Enterobacterales; Enterobacteriaceae. The record is from RNAcentral.